RNAcentral lists this ribosomal RNA (543 nucleotides) under Triticum aestivum (bread wheat). Its description in RNAcentral is "partial small subunit ribosomal RNA". The record is from RNAcentral. Lineage: Eukaryota; Viridiplantae; Streptophyta; Magnoliopsida; Poales; Poaceae.
AUGCCAGCAUUAAGAUUUAAAACGUGUCGUCUACUUCCAGGAAAUGUUCGGAACAGAGAACUUUCUCUAAUCCAACGCCGUAUUCUCCGAAGAUUGAGGAACAAGAGGAGAUCCAUUAAAAGAAAUCUUUCUCGGAGAGAAAAUCUAAACAGUAACAUCAAAUCACAAACUACACGAAAGUUGUCUCUUUAUUAUGGGGAUUUACCCAUAAGGGAGAUGCACAGAGGAAGAGAACGAACUUCAUAUAUCCCUUUUUUACUCAAUCAAGAAACAAGAUCAAACGUGAUUCCGGUUCGUCUCCAUUUUAGUGACACUCUUCCUCAAGCAAGGCAGCCGAUAAGUCAUCGAAGGGUUUGUUUGAAUAAUGGAUUGGUAACCAUUACUCAUUUGAAAGUUUCCCACGGUGAUCUAAUAUCUUUUAAAGAAAAUGACGCGAGAACCCGCGGUUUUGAAAUAAGGAGAUCUUUCUAUAUCGACAUAUCAGUUGGAAAAAUCAUAGGCAAAUUCCUAUCGGCCAUAUCGGUUGGAAAAAGAAGAGGCAAA